CACGUAAGGGGCAAGCGUUGUUCGGAAUUAUUGGGCGUAAAGGGUACGUAGGCGGUCCGGUAAGCCCGGCGUGAAAUCCCACAGCUUAACUGUGGGGCUGCGCUGGGAACUGGCGGACUUGAGUCAUGGAAGGGGAGUUGGAAUUCCAGGUGUAGGGGUGAAAUCUGUAGAUAUCUGGAAGAACACCGGUGGCGAAGGCGAACUCCUGGCCGAUGACUGACGCUGAGGUACGAAAGCGUGGGGAGCAAACAGGAUUAGAUACCCUGGUAGUCCACGCCAUAAACGAUGUGCACUAGGUGUUGGGCCGAGCGGUUCAGUGCCGAAGCUAACGUGAUAAGUGCACCGCCUGGGGAGUAUGCCCGCAAGGGUG
RNAcentral lists this ribosomal RNA (370 nucleotides) under uncultured prokaryote. RNAcentral describes it as "bacterial SSU rRNA". It matches the Rfam family "Bacterial small subunit ribosomal RNA", at positions 524 to 896 of the family's 1533-position model. The record is from RNAcentral.